Long non-coding RNA from Gadus macrocephalus (Pacific cod), 6578 nucleotides. RefSeq lists it as uncharacterized. The record is from RefSeq and is a predicted model, not a curated record. Lineage: Eukaryota; Metazoa; Chordata; Actinopteri; Gadiformes; Gadidae. The transcript is spliced from 2 exons.
GGGGGGGGGGGGGGGGGGGAAGGACAAGGACGCGGUGCACCACGAAGAAGGAGAACGGGAAAGAGUCUUCCUCCUGCCAUCUUCACCUCGCCGGAUAGCCAUCUCCCGUUUUUUUGCUUUUUAGUCCUUUAUUAAUUUUGGAAGAAGAAGAAGGACCAUUUCUCAUUUCCACAACUAGUGGAAAUGAGAUGCAGCGGCGCUCUGAAUAUUGCCCCCCUCCCUCCGGGUUUUAAUGGUUUGUCCCAGUUCUCUGGAGGACAGCAGGGGUCACCAGGACAGUCUGUUAUGGUAUGGACCACAACACCUCUGAAUCAGUCGCGGGGGUGGGGGUGGGGGGGGGGGGAGUGGGGGAGGGAGGGGUGGAAGGAGAGGGUGGACCGGUGGUUCAGCCCUACAUGGCCACUAAAAAAGGAAAGCCUUGAGCUGAAUUUAUGCUCAAAGUCACCUCCCGGUGCAGACUGCCAUACUUGGGAAGGAAGCACGGGGAGGAGAACAUGUUCUGCUCGUAACUUCCUUGACGUUGGUGAAAGGUCACGCCUCCGUUUGUCUGCCUUGCUUCUCUCGUGCCAUUCAUUCAGGUGUGGCCUGCUCUAUCUGCUUGGUCAGGCCCAGAGCGCAUGGCUUGUAUUGACCGCCCCUGCCCAGCCCAGCCCCAGGAGUGGCGGUGACCCGGUUGUCUGAGUGACACCCACAGCAGAUGCUGACAUUAUCAAAUGCUCGACGCCUGUCGCGCCUUCUCGCUUCUCUGCCCUGUUAUGGCCAGUGUACGAAGCCAGAGUCCCGGCCACCUGACGUGGUGAAGUGGUCGGGGGGGCAUGUGGGUGUGUGUGUGUGUGUGGGCGAGCGUUGGAGUGUAUGUUACAAAUAGAACUGCGCCUGGCGUGCCAUAUCAAGCUGGCCCUGUGCUGACCUCCGUCGUGUCUACAAGCAGCUCAGUCUAUCCUUCAGCUGUCGUUGGUCACUCAGAGCUCAUGGACAGGAGAGGAAUGAGGGAGGGGGAAGGGGGGGCAGGGAGAAGCAUAGUCAAUAAAUGUAAGAGCUGACUAGGCUUCAACUGCCGUGUGCAAAAUGCUCCCAAUGAACCUUUAGCAUUGAUUAAAGAAGCCCAGAAAAGAAAAAGACCCACGCAAUGCAGCUGUGGGUUUCUUCAGAGCCUUCUGGCCUCAGUCAGUGUCAGAGUGUGCCAUCUGAAACAUCUCGUCUCUGGGACUUAAUUGACUGUUCCAAAUUAAUGUUGUGACUUCGCCCCCGAGGGUAACGUUUCAGGAGCGCUGCGGAGAAGCAGUGUGUGAGCGAGUGAUCCGGUGUGUGUGUGUGUGCGUGUGUGUGUUUGUCUAUUGGCCGUCCCAGUGACCAAGGAAGCAGUAUGUUGAUGGCAGGGCCCAUCUGUCAGAGCCUGUAAUUGCUACAUGACUCCGGGACAUUUGACUCAAGUGCACCGCCACAGAUUAUUAUUAUCCUUUUCUUGGGCAACUAUUUUUCUCCCUAUCUAGAAAGUUGUGGGGGGUGCUGGUUAAACUUACAAGAUAGCAAUGAGGAUAAAUAGAUUGGCUGGAAGGCAGAGGGUGGGAGAAGUUCUGAAAGGUUGACUGAGUGCAGCUGUGUGUGUGUGUAUGUGUAUGUGUGUGUGUGUGUGUGUGUGGCAUGCUAUAUGUAAGUAUGCGUCAGACAGAUUGAAAGUGAGCAGAAAAAGAGAUGGAUGGGGCUGUCUGAGUGUAAACGUGAAGCCUGUCGACUACGGUUUUGAAAAGUGUGGUUAAAGAUGCAGCCACUCCUUUUAUUUUGCACUGUGGGUUUCUAUGCAGACUGCUGGUAAGACAACUAUCUAUAGGCCGGGCUGUAUCACGAAAACGCUUUACCACCAAGUUACCGCACCUGUCCCCGGAAAGUGUGAUCCACAAUGCUUUGCUAAAGCUGGUAAAAUGGAACCAAAUCACCUCUUGAAUGGAUUUGGUCCCCUUCAACCAGCUGUAGCUAUGCUUUGAUGACUACAGGAGCUCCCUGAUGCUGUGUGCUCUUAAGUGUUACAAUUAGCCCUCUAACCACCUUCAAGACGACCAGAGCGAUGCCGGCGGGCACCAACUGAAUCAUAUGCGAGUGUUGUAUUGAUUCCCUCCACGUGUAUCAUGUAAAACCUGUGUCUUAAUAAAUGGAAAAAUAAAAAUAACUAAUCCCACCUUGAAGACUAUUUUUCAGUAAGGCUCACUUUUUCUUUUGGAGCGUCGCAUUUCAUUACCGUCUCUAAAAUAGCAGGGGAGUGAAGGCAUGCUUACCGCAUGCACCAAUUCAGGACGCGAAGCCCUCACAUGCCAGUGUGUGAAUGUGCAACUUAAGACAACUCAACCUAAGCAACUGUCACUGGCUGAUGAGAGUAAAUUACACUUUAGGGGAUUUGAGGGAGAAGUUGAAGCUGAAGAGAUAUAUCGCCAAAAUAGCACAUUGGGAGUACAAUAACACUGUAAAGAGUAGAUCUAAUGCAGAAUUAGGAGUGUUAAAACGAGACAAUGGAGAUUGUACACACACACACACACACACACACACACACACACACACACACACACACACACACACACACACACACACACACACACACACACACACACACACUGCCCCGGAGUGUCCUGUCGUGAGACUGGACCUGGAGGAGGAGAUUAGAGCCAGAUGCUCCAGAGGACAGCAGCUGAAUGCACAAAUCACAGGAGCACACUUCUUUCUCUGGCUUACACACACACACACACACACACACACACACACACACACACACACACACACACACACACAAACAAACACACAAACACACAAACACCGGCACGUACACACAAAGCUAGUGCCGCAGUGUAUGCAGACAGAUCAAACUGAACUCAGAACAUGCAGUGUCCCCUGCCCUUUCGUUUCGCCUUCAUCCCUCUCCCUCCCUUUCUCCUUCUCCUACCCGCUCGCUCUCCCCCUCUCGCACUACUCUCAAUUUGUCUAAUUUGGCUGACAAUUAAGCGCGUGUCAAAUUGACCUUGGGGAGAGGUAAAGUGAAGGGAAGGGGGUUUUACAGGUACUGAGUAACUGACGAGUAGCUGACGAGUGAAAUAAAGGCACGACCAGAAAGCGAGGGUUAGACUGCAGAUACUGCAGUUCUCCAGAAAGAGCCGGAGCCAGGGCUCGGCGUAGUUCCCAGCAUUUACACAUUUUCUGUGUAUGUGGGAAAAUUGACAAUACAUAUUUUUUUUCUAAUACAAACUAAUAACGCAGCCUUACUUGGCAUGCAUACACUUACACCGCAGCAUUAUGAGCGUUCCAUGAAAUCCAUGAAAUUCCAAAUGAUAAUAUUCUAAAAACAUUUUAUUUUUAUAAUGAAUAGUUUAUGCCAUGGUACAAUCCACGUGUCCAGUGUGACGGGGGAAAUCAAACACAAUUACGGCAAAACUGACUAGACCUCAUCCAGAUCAGCUUAAUCUGAACAUGACGGGAGGGAGGGGUUACGGGGGUAGAGGGAUGUGGCGAUAAACUCCUAAUUCCACAAAAACCCAUGGCGGAGAGCGGAAAUGCAGACGGGAGCCAGAGGAACGCAAACACUCAGCCCGUUUCCACGCAGUUGUCUCUCCACAGGCCCAGAACGCCAUUUCCCCAUCUCAUUAUCAACCCAGUUACGAAGGCUGCCAUCACAGUGCUGUGCCUGUUUGUUCCGGCAGAGCAAACCAUUACAGUGGGAACACUCAUUGCCAUUUGCAACGGACCUGAAAGCGCUGAGGUUACUGUACAUCAGGUGGGGUAAUGGGUGACCGGGGCCAUCCUCAUACGUCGACAUGUUAAACAAGACCAGGGUCCGUGUUUAAGAGGGUAGAAACGUGGAGGAUGGGAAAGUUAAAAAAAAAUAGAAACGAGGCAGAGGCAGCCACUGCAGCGCGUGUUUGGAGACCCUUUAUGAGUCAUGGGCUAUUAAUCGUACUGUUUACAGUGUCGUAGCAGCCCCUGGCCUGGAGUGGUCCGAGGGAAGAGACGCGAACCAGGCUCCCCUCAGGAGGGGCGGGGGCCGCAGUGAACACACGCAGGCAGCAUUCCCAUCAUGGCUGACCAAGGAGGCGUCUCCGCACUACGUGAUGGGACCAUUCGUUCUCUCGCUCCUCUUUUCCCCCACUUCGGCGGUGUUUGUAGAACAUAACAAGGUCUAAUUUAUGAGGAAAUGCAUUUACACACGGCGUAAUUCACCACGUGUGCGAGCGUAAUGAAGGGGGGUGAUGUAUAGCCGGGCGCCCGGAUUACCGGGCUCGGGCGGGUGGAGUUGAUUUGUCUCGGUAUCAGAGUCUGAACACGGGUAGACUCAUCCGUCACCACCAGGGUCCUCUCUAGUGUCUCCUGGUGGGUUUUUUUUUUUUUUUUUUUUUUUUUUUACACACACACACGCACCACUGAGAAAGUGGUCCAUGCUUACAAACACACAACCGUAGAAACACUGGCUUUGCCUGGUGGCUAAACAUACAAAUGCAGACAAGCCUCGGAUGAUGAAAAUCACUUUCAGCACUGCCAGAAGAUCAGGAAACAGGGGUCACGGGGAGGUGGCUGCCAUCUUUUCUCUUAUCGGGACGCCUUUUCAUUCUCCUGAUUGGAGACACCGGACCAGCUAUGAAUAAAGGGGCUCGUUCUGAACAGUUGUCCCGUAAUACUAUCCCCGUAACUCUAUUUAAAAACACAACGAUAAGUGGUGAGAACCUCCACCUCAUCAACCGGGAACUUAUGGAAACGCUGCAAACAUAACAUCUCUGCCACGGUCCUCAUCCCCACAGCCCCCGCCAUCUUGAGAGUUGUUCCACACAGAGCUUAGGUUACAUUUCAGUUGAUUUGAUGACGCCAACGCUCGCAGUCACAAGUGCAAUAGAAAGCCGUGCCAGCAAGGGAGGCCAUACCCUCUAUUUUUUCAGAGACUAAAUCAGCUGAAAUGCAGUUAUAGACGGUUACACUGGCAUACUUCUUCAGUGUAGGGGCUGGGUUUACUAGACCAUACAAACGAUAACAAAUUGGUGCAUAAUUAAAAGCUAAUAUCUACUUGUUUAGCGACAACUAUAAUUAACGUUUUUUGCACCAUGGUUAAAUGAUCCGUCGCCGGGCAGCCAGGCCACCACAGAGAGAGGGAGACGGGCCAGGUGGGGUUAGUCUGCUCCCAUCUAUUUAUCAGACCGUCAUAGUGACUUAUGUAGAACACUGCUGUUGCUGUGACUAAAUGGAGAACAUUUGGUCUGCGGAUUAAAUAAUACUGUGUCGAGCCUCAUUUUAUUAAAGUGUCGUUGUGUCUUACUAAAUGUAUCCAAUAGGAUCAGUGUUGAGUAUUGAUGAAGCACCGAAGCAAUAAACCUGCAACCGAUAAACAGAAUCGGUAUCAACUAGACAUGUUGCCUCAUGUACAUUUUCUGAGCAAAUGCGUGUGAGCCAUCUCUUCGUAUGUGCAAUAUUCCGCAAGCAUGCUGAAAUGCUAGCAAGGCUAAUGAGCGAGCACGCCAAAUUUCAAGCCCUAGGCCGCUUUGAGACCACCUUGUGAUUGAUUGAAUAGUGUGGCGGAUCGUUUUUGUUUGAUCUCGAGUUACAGCGCCCCCUGUCGACGAAGGGGUGGUUUACCACUUUUUAGAGAUCUGCUGAUGCGCUGUUUCUGUACAUGUACCGACUUUGACCACUCUGCUUUUUUCCCCUAUUCCCUUCAAUUAUAAAAACUAGCUUGCUGAGCAUCUGCAACAGUGGUUAUUUGAAAUUGACCCUGUAAGGUAUCUUUUAUAGCUAUGAUUACAAAACGUUCCAAAUUACCGAAUAGGGAUGUCCUUAGAGGGCCCAACAAGCUAUAGGUCCCUUGGAUUUCACUGAGGCAGACUUGUUAUUGAAUGAACAAUGGCGGCUCAUUUGCAUAAUCGUAUUUUCACAUAAAUCUGCCAUAUCACAUUUUUAGAACAAUAACAAUUAUAAAUAUAACCGCAAGCGGUGAUUGACGGGGUCCGAGCAAAAAUAAAAGUCAAGAACAAACUAAUGGAAGAUAUAUAGAUGUAACAUAUAAUUGUCAUAUUUAAGGAAGGAUGUUCCACUUAUAAACCUGAACUGCAGCCUCAUUCACAUAGUCAAAAUGUCUAAAGCACACAACAUCCAGAAGACUCAAAGCACACAUAUCUCAAGUGAAUUAAGUUCUUUCUUCAAAGCAUAUACCGGAAAAAUCUUUGAAAUUCUGGGGAAUUAAACAUUUGUAGUCAACGAAAAAUUCUGUUCGAUGAUUUUUGUGAGGCUUGGUCUAAAGAUUUCAUGUGGCGAUUUUGGUGAAUUUUAGAUUAUUUUUGUAGCCUGUGAAUCCUUUUUAUCAUGUUUAGCUUUAAGAUGAAAUUGUGGGAAAAGGUUUUAUAAUUACAUCUGAUUCUAGAGAUUAAUAUUCAGAAAGAAUUUUGAGUCCAGGUCAAUCUGGUGAGGAGAAAUAAGGCUAAUUCAUGAUUUUUUACAAUAACACCACCUUUUUGGUUUAUGGGUAGUGAGGGUUAUUGGUAACCAUACCUGAAAAUGUCAAGAGUUUGAUUUACGGUAUAGUCUGCAGUAUGACUUUUACAGAAUUUGAGGGGGAA